Non-coding RNA from Armillaria fumosa, 130 nucleotides. NCBI's taxonomy places the organism in Eukaryota, Fungi, Basidiomycota, Agaricomycetes, Agaricales, Physalacriaceae. The record is from the annotation of a GenBank genome assembly.
GGCGAGAUGGCCGAGCGGUCUAAGGCGCCAGACUAAGGUGGUUAUCCAAUCACUCAAAUGACCCACUCAGUUUCUGAGUUAUGUGAUAAUCUGGUCUUUCGAGGCGUGGGUUCGAAUCCCACUCUUGUCA